This is an RNA transcript of Tachysurus fulvidraco (yellow catfish), 2340 nucleotides long. It is a transcript of the gene named WD repeat domain, phosphoinositide interacting 1, with no coding region annotated. The transcript is spliced from 13 exons. Lineage: Eukaryota; Metazoa; Chordata; Actinopteri; Siluriformes; Bagridae. The record is from RefSeq and is a predicted model, not a curated record.
CGUGACGCUCCGUGCCGUGACGCAGGAGCCAUCAGCUGUUUAUGUUUUGCUCCGGGUUGUUAGGCUGUGUGUCCGUUAGGAAACGUAAAAAGUGCGCGUAUUAAGCGUUUAUUAACACAACCGCAGUAAACCGUGUCUAGUGUUUAUGUCCGCGUGUUUAUGUUCGUAGGUCUUCGGCAGUGUGAGACGGCUCCAGCGGAUCCGGGGGCUCCGGUGAAGGAGGGGCCGGGCGGAGGUCGCUGGAGUUCGGCAUGGAGAGCGGAGAUGGAGGCGGAGGAGCCCGAGGCCCGGAACUGCGAUGCGCCUCCUUUAACCAGGACUCCACCUCGCUGGCUGUGGGAACUAAGGAAGGUUACAGACUGUUCUCGGUCACCGCCGUGGAUAAACUGGAGUGCAUUCACGAAAGCGCCGAGAAUCCGGACGUCUACAUCGUGGAGCGUUUGUUCUCCAGCAGCCUGGUGGUGGUGGUGAGUCACUCGAUGCCGCGGCGCAUGAACGUCUACCACUUCAAGAAAGGAACGGAGAUCUGCAAUUACAGCUACUCCAACUCCAUCCUCUCAGUGCGCCUCAACCGACAGAGGCUGGUGGUUUGUCUGGAAGAGUCCAUUUACAUCCACAACAUAAAGGACAUGAAGCUUCUGAAGACUCUCCUGAACACACCAACUAAUCCCUCAGGUCUCUGUGCUCUCUCUAUCAACCAUUCCAAAUCUUACCUGGCAUAUCCUGGCAGCGCCACCAUCGGAGAAAUCACUAUUUAUGACGCCAACAAUCUGAACACAGUGACCGAGAUUUCAGCUCACGACAGUCAGUUAGCCGCCAUCACCUUCAAUGCCUCAGGCACCAAACUGGCCAGUGCUUCAGAGAGGGGCACAGUGAUCCGAGUGUUCUCCAUUCCAGAAGGACAGAGACUGUUUGAGUUCCGCAGAGGAAUGAAAAGAUACGUGAACAUCAGCUCUCUGUCCUUCAGCCCUGAUGCUCAGUUCCUGUGUGCUUCAAGCAAUACUGAGACGGUCCACAUCUUCAAACUAGAGCAGCAUGGACAUGGUGGGGAGGAGGAGAACCCCUCGUGGUCAGCGUAUGUGGGGAAGAUGUUUUCUGCAGCGAGCAGCUACCUGCCCGCGCAGGUUUCAGGAAUGAUGAGUCAGGAUCGAGCGUUCGCCACGGUCCGCCUUAACACACAAGGCCACAAACACACCUGCACUUUAACAACAAUCCAGAAGCUUCCGCGGCUCCUCGUAGCCUCGUCUGAAGGGCAGCUCUUUAUUUAUAACAUCGACCCUCAGGACGGGGGCGAGUGCAUGCUGGUACACACACACAGGCUGUUAGGAUCGGACGACAAAGCCGAGGUGUCUGAGGGAACGGUGGCUCCUUCCUACGCUGCCACAGCAGCCAUUGGCACCUGCGGACCUGCUUCUGCCACACUAACCGGCUAUUCCGAGGAUGGAGGAGUGAUGAAAGGCGAGGUGAUUCCAGAGCACGAGUUCGCCGCCGGUCCCGUGUGCCUGGAUGACGAGACCGAGUUUCCUCCAGUGAGCAUUCAGACCCCGUAAAUCCACCCAAAUCACUAAACUCCGCCUCCAUCUCCAACCUGCACCGUCUGUUCCACGGCAGUGGGUUUAACUGUGUCUGUGUUCGCUAGUGCAGUGUCGUGUCCCUGGGGCUCAGGCUGUGUGUCACAGCAACAGUCACUAAGCUGAUGGUCUUCACCUCAGUGAUGAUCCGUAAAAACACUCCUGAGCUCAGAAGUUCACUCUCGUGGUUCUCAGGGUUCCUGAUGGCAGGCGUGAGCGGAGAUGAAGAUAAUGAGACGUCACUAAAAUUAUAUUUUUACAGACAUCCAGUCAGGCAUUUUUAACGAAGGCAGUCGUUUUAUUUCACUACGGUCCUUUUUGCUCAAACUGACCUGCAAGUUAACAAAUUAAUACGUUUUUUCUUUCUUUCUAUUUCUAAAGCUAUGAAGCUUCACAGAUCUUGAUGAUGUAAAUGUUUGCGCAGUUUUUUUCCCCUCAACCCGAGUACCGUUUAUCCGAAAUCAUUUUAAUUUUGACUGAAAGCAAUAACGUGGACGAAACCUAAUGUCUGUUAGCAGGUUGAACAGCAAGCGUGCGAUGGACAUGACUAUAAACAAUUAAAAAAAAAAAAAAAGCAAGCGAUUAUCUUCUUGAACAAAGUAUUUAAUAUACAACAUGUUUACUAUCUUAAAAAUAAUAAGAAAAUCAAUGUAUCGUCUAAUGUCUAUAAUCCGAAACGGAUCAUGUCUCUCGUGUGUGUGUGUGUGUGUGUGUGUGUGUGUGUGUUUGUGUGUGUGUGUGUGUGUGUGUGUGUGUGUGUGUGUGUGUG